GACGAACGCUGGCGGCGUGCUUAACACAUGCAAGUCGAACGGUGAAGCGCCUUCCUUUUUGGUGGGUGUGGAUGAGCGGCGAACGGGUGAGUAACACGUGAGUAACCUGCCCCCUUCUUCUGGAUAACCGCAUGAAAGUGUGGCUAAUACGGGAUAUUCUGGGUCUGUCGCAUGAUGGGUCUGGGAAAGAUAUUGUUUCGGUGGGGGAUGGGCUCGCGGCCUAUCAGCUUGUUGGUGGGGUGAUGGCCUACCAAGGCGGUGACGGGUAGCCGGCCUGAGAGGGUGGACGGUCACACUGGGACUGAGACACGGCCCAGACUCCUACGGGAGGCAGCAGUGGGGAAUAUUGCACAAUGGGCGCAAGCCUGAUGCAGCGACGCCGCGUGAGGGAUGGAGGCCUUCGGGUUGUGAACCUCUUUCGCCAGUGAAGCAGGCCUGCCUCGUUUGUGGGUGGGUUGACGGUAGCUGGAGAAGAAGCGCCGGCUAACUACGUG
This 494-nucleotide ribosomal RNA is filed under the name uncultured bacterium. RNAcentral describes it as "partial 16S ribosomal RNA". It matches the Rfam family "Bacterial small subunit ribosomal RNA", at positions 28 to 507 of the family's 1533-position model. The record is from RNAcentral.